AGAUGUUCUAUAAUAAUUAAAAUAAUUGCAUUGGUAAACAAAAAAACGUAACUUUUACAGUUUAACGGCAACUCAGUGUGAUGGCAUCACUGACAAUUAACUCAACAAUCGAAUAUCCUUGGAAAAAACAUCAAGAAAUAGACCAAUAAUGGUGAAACUCACUUAUGUACCAUCAUAUACACAAACACAUAAGAAUUUGGGAAACAGUUGGUUUCAGUCUCAUGGAAAGGUAUCUGAGGGUUCACAUAAUAUGAGAGAAUACUAUACUGCUCAUGCAUUACAUUCUGUCAAAGAUCGAUGACUCUGAUGGUACAACAUGGACCAGCUGCACUGCUAAAAAACGCAGAAUUAACGAGGCGAAAGAAUUUCAGGAAGAUCUCACAUUCAGAAGGUUGUAUCUUUCACUAUACUCAGCGAAAAAUUGAGAAUAAAUUAUCCAUGGAAAUCUCACACCAAAUACUUAAAAUACAUCCAUAGCCCCAUGGACAGAUUCAGCCUUGAAGUUACUUUAAACCGCCCGCAAAAUAGGAAGUCAUGACUGAAACUGCAGUCUGACGAAAACUAACAGUAAUUUCAGAUAGGCAAAUCUCCUAGAAUACCUGAAGAAAAAUUGGAAAUAAACAUUCGUUGGAAAGGUCUUGAAAAGAUAUACAACUUUUAUUUUAAUGGUUCGGUCAUAUUUGACACCUAAAACCCUCAAAACGCAAUCGGUAAGUUACUGCACGCACUGCAAACAGAGUUGUGCAAAACAGACUUGCGAAAACAAACAGCAGGGAAGGAAGGAUUACUUCACUUGAUACCUACAACAGAUCACGCCCCUGCCAUCUCUAUUUCGCUCUUUCCAUCUCUUCCCUGCAGCAAACCUUCUUUCAAGCUGCCUCAGACAUGGGUUUGGAUUGGUGUCCUCCUGAAUACUCUGCCCCUGAAGGCUUUCUUUUCCUUCUCAGAAUCUGAACUUAUCAAAAUCAAGCUAAUUAGUGGAAAAGGCUGCAUAUUGACCUCUCACUAACACAGCCACAUGUGCCAACAAAUAUCUUAACCACUCACCAGGAUCAUUCCUUGGUACAGAAAAACCAAAACAUAAUUAAGCAUAUUAUAUGAACCAGUCUUUUCAAAACCAGUAUUGGUAUUUAAAAUUAAUGAAAUUCAUAUGCAUGGACAAGUGUACGGUUUAGAAUACACAAAAAAAAAAGCAAAGUACUAUUUGGUUAUAGUCAGAGUUCCCCUACUUUGCAAUGUGG
RNAcentral lists this long non-coding RNA (1241 nucleotides) under Triticum aestivum (bread wheat). RNAcentral describes it as "long non-coding RNA (TAES_LNC008006)". Lineage: Eukaryota; Viridiplantae; Streptophyta; Magnoliopsida; Poales; Poaceae. The record is from RNAcentral.